RNAcentral lists this ribosomal RNA (462 nucleotides) under uncultured bacterium. Its description in RNAcentral is "bacterial SSU rRNA". It matches the Rfam family "Bacterial small subunit ribosomal RNA", at positions 331 to 792 of the family's 1533-position model. The record is from RNAcentral.
CCAGACUCCUACGGGAGGCAGCAGUGAGGAAUAUUGGUCAAUGGGCAAGAGCCUGAACCAGCCAAGUCGCGUGAGGGAGUACUGCCCUAUGGGUUGUAAACCUCUUUUGUCGGGGAGCAAAAGCCGGACGUGUCCGGCUGUGAGGGUACCCGAAGAAAAAGCAUCGGCUAACUCCGUGCCAGCAGCCGCGGUAAUACGGAGGAUGCGAGCGUUAUCCGGAUUUAUUGGGUUUAAAGGGUGCGCAGGCGGACUUUUAAGUCAGCGGUCAAAUCGUGGGGCUCAACCCCAUCCAGCCGUUGAAACUGGGCAUCUAGAGUGGGCGAGAAGUGCGCGGAAUGCGUGGUGUAGCGGUGAAAUGCAUAGAUAUCACGCAGAACUCCGAUUGCGAAGGCAGCGCACCGGCGCCCUACUGACGCUCAGGCACGAAAGCGUGGGUAUCGAACAGGAUUAGAUACCCGUGUA